Molecule: ribosomal RNA, 433 nt
Filed under: uncultured bacterium
Lineage: Bacteria
Description: partial 16S ribosomal RNA
Rfam family: Bacterial small subunit ribosomal RNA
Source: RNAcentral
AACGAACGCUGGCGGCAGGCCUAACACAUGCAAGUCGAACGAAGUCUUCGGACUUAGUGGCGCACGGGUGAGUAACACGUGGGAAUAUACCUUACGCUGGGGGAUAACAUCGGGAAACUGAUGCUAAUACCGCAUACGCCCUUCGGGGGAAAGAUUUAUCGGCGAAAGAUUAGCCCGCGUCCGAUUAGCUAGUUGGUGAGGUAAUGGCUCACCAAGGCUCCGAUCGGUAGCUGGUCUGAGAGGAUGACCAGCCACACUGGGACUGAGUCACGGCCCAGACUCCUACGGGAGGCAGCAGUGGGGAAUAUUGGACAAUGGGCGCAAGCCUGAUCCAGCCAUGCCGCGUGAGUGAUGAAGGCCUUAGGGUUGUAAAGCUCUUUCACCCACGACGAUGAUGACGGUAGUGGGAGAAGAAGUCCCGGCUAACUUCGUG